AUGACGAGAGUGAAGAAUAGUUACUAUGUACUUCCAGGAGAACCUGAGCCGAAGCGCACCGUGUCAAACACUCACAGCAUUGGGAAGGUGAUGUUCCUAACAGCUGUUGCCAGGCCUCGAUAUAACAAUGAGGGGGAGCUAACAUUCGACGGGAAGAUUGGCAUUUGGGCAUUCAUUGAAGAGACUGAGGCGAAGCGGGCAAGUCAUAACAGAACAAAGGGAACAAAAGUGUUGACAUCAGUGAAAGUAACUAGGCCUGUG
Molecule: ribosomal RNA, 261 nt
Filed under: Triticum aestivum (bread wheat)
Lineage: Eukaryota; Viridiplantae; Streptophyta; Magnoliopsida; Poales; Poaceae
Description: partial small subunit ribosomal RNA
Source: RNAcentral